CAAAUUUUGCAUAUCUAGGACUAUCUAAUACAUUUUCAUAUAAAUACCCACUAGAUCUCAGUUUUAAUGCUAUUUGGCUAGAUACUUGACCAAGUUGCAUCUCUAAAUUCUCGAAGGAUGUUUCCAUGUUACUUCACACAGUUUCUUGAUGUCUGUUGAUUUUCUCGAAACUGAGUUGAGUCAUCUUUAUAAACUGAGUUAGGGUUUCUUCAAUUUGAGAUGGUGAAGCCUCUUCCCAUGAAUGAUCAGUGUUUAUGUAAGGUUCUGGAUCUGAAUAAUUUCCCGCAAGCUUUUAAACUAGAGUUUAUGUUUCACGUUCCUUUGUAUA
RNAcentral lists this long non-coding RNA (328 nucleotides) under Lathyrus oleraceus (garden pea). Its description in RNAcentral is "Pisum sativum (pea) long non-coding RNA (PSAT_LNC001453)". Lineage: Eukaryota; Viridiplantae; Streptophyta; Magnoliopsida; Fabales; Fabaceae. The record is from RNAcentral.